CUUUUUUCCAUUCACAGUGGAGUCUCAGGAGGCUGUCAUGGGGAGCCGUCGAAGAGCUGUGAACAGGCGUUGCCAUGGGCAGGGGUCACAUUCCCAAGCACCCAGUCUGCGUAGAGAAGACGAUGUAAAUGUCCGAGCAGCCGACGCCCUUGCCUGCUCUGACACACUGCAUCCUCCGCUCUUCUUGGCCUCGCCGCACCUCAGCUCCUCAGCACCCUCAGCACCCUCAGCACCCUCAAUGUGAAAUGGAGCUAAUUGUCCUCAUCGGUCUUCACUGUUGAGGGGUUAUUUGAUGAUCAAAUGAAAGGCUCUGAAAAAGGCCACGGAAAAAUCCAGAGGCAAGGUAGCGUCCCCAUGGGCGGCUCAGUCCACUCCUCCCUCAGCCUGGACACAGACGAGGC
RNAcentral lists this long non-coding RNA (401 nucleotides) under Vulpes vulpes (red fox). RNAcentral describes it as "lncRNA (ENSVVUG00000005558.1)". Lineage: Eukaryota; Metazoa; Chordata; Mammalia; Carnivora; Canidae. The record is from RNAcentral.